Molecule: non-coding RNA, 29 nt
Filed under: Mus musculus (house mouse)
Lineage: Eukaryota; Metazoa; Chordata; Mammalia; Rodentia; Muridae
Source: RNAcentral
UUUCAGUUUAUCCUGGGGACCGGUCUCAC